CGCAGCCGCGGUAAUUCCAGCUCCAAUAGCGUAUAUUAAAGUUGUUGCAGUUAAAAAGCUCGUAGUUGAAUUUCGAGACCGGUUUAUUGGUCGUGCUUUUGUACGUACUGGUAUUAUUGGUUUCUCCUUUCUGACGAAUCUUAAUGCCAUUAAUUUGGUGUUUUGAGGAAUCAGGACUGUUACUUUGAAAAAAUUAGAGUGUUUAAAGCAGGCUCACGCUUGAAUACAUUAGCAUGGAAUAACGGAAUAGGACGUUUGAUUCUAUUUUGUUGGUUUCUAGGAUCGACGUAAUGAUUAAUAGGGAUAGUUGGGGGCAUUAGUAUUCAAUUGUCAGAGGUGAAAUUCUUGGAUUUAUUGAAGACUAACUACUGCGAAAGCAUUUGCCAAGGAUGUUUUCAUUAAUCAAGAACGAAAGUUAGGGGAUCGAAGACGAUCAGAUACCGUCGUAGU
Molecule: ribosomal RNA, 450 nt
Filed under: uncultured Glomeromycotina
Lineage: Eukaryota; Fungi; Glomeromycota
Description: SSU rRNA
Rfam family: Eukaryotic small subunit ribosomal RNA
Source: RNAcentral